CAACAAAUUUGUACAAACCAUUCGUGAUAAAGUUGUCCACUGAUCUUCAAAAAUCAUUCGUUUAAAAUUAGGUGGUGACAUUUUUCUAAAUUUCAAGUUCAAAUUCUUUCUAUGAGAUUCUAGGUAUAGUUCCUUCCCGCGUCACACUACAAGAAAACUGACCGCCAAUAGCGGCAACACUAUUAGCGGCGACAGCCAAUAAGUCGCCGCUAUUGGUCGUAUCCGCACCUGGUGUCCCACAUUAAACCCUAGCCACACGAUUCUAUUCAUCAUCCAACGGCUGGGGUUUGUCCGGGUUAAUAGCGGCGAUGUAUUUAACCAAUAGCGGCGAUAUGUUGUCGCCCCUAUUGGUCCGACGAAUAAAUCAGCAAACGGCGCCAGUUCUUCCCUCCUUUCACUUUCCCAAAACCUUUCGUCUCUCUCGUGUAUAGAUGUAUGCCAAGUCAUCAAUCCAAGGAAAGACCAAGAUUCCCAAGUCCUGAACCUGUGUGCUUAGUGGGAUGUGGAUUACAACAAGAAGUCAAGAUAGCCAGAGACGGUUAAGAAAAUUUAGAUUGGUUGAUAUGGUCAUGAGAUGGUUUUAAUCAAAUAUUUUACUUUUAUGUUG
RNAcentral lists this long non-coding RNA (607 nucleotides) under Helianthus annuus (common sunflower). The record is from RNAcentral. Lineage: Eukaryota; Viridiplantae; Streptophyta; Magnoliopsida; Asterales; Asteraceae.